UCGCUUUGGGAGGAGCUCGCUUACUAUCAGCUUGUUGGUAGGGUAAUGGCCUACCAAGGCUAUGACGGUUAGGGGGUGUGAGAGCAUGACCCCCAGCAUUGGCACUGAAACACUGGCCAAACACCUACGGGUGGCUGCAGUCGAGAAUCUUCCACAAUGGGGGAAACCCUGAUGGAGCGAUGCUGCGUGCGGGAUGAAGGCCUUCGGGUUGUAAACCGCUUUUGUAGGGGACGAAAUUUUUGACGGUACCCUUUCGAAUAAGAGGUUGCUAACUCUGUGCCAGCAGCAGCGGUAAUACAGAGACCUCAAGCGUUAUCCGGAUUUACUGGGCGUAAAGCGUCUGUAGGGGGUUUAUUAAGUUCCAAGUAAAAUUUCAAGGCUCAACUUUGAAUUCGCUUGGAAAACUAAUAAACUGGAGUCUAGCAGAGGUGCAUGGAGCUUGUGGUGUAGGAGUGAAAUCCGUUGAUAUCACAAGGAACACCAAAGGCGAAGGCAUUGCACUGGGCUAGCACUGACCCUGAGAGACGAAAGCGUGGGGAGCAAAACGGAUUAGAUACCCGUGUAGUCCACGCCCUAAACGAUGAAUGCUAAAUGUUCGGGGAUUCGACCCCCUGGGUGUUACAGCUAACGCGUUAAGCAUUCCGCCUGGGAAGUACGGCCGCAAGGCUAAAACUCAAAGGAAUAGACGGGGAUCCGCGCAAGCGGUGGAGCGUCUGGUUUAAUUCGACAGUAAGCGUGGUACCUCACCAGGGUUUGACAUCCCUUGACAGCCUUGGAAACAAGGUUUCCUUCGGGCAAGGUGACAGGUGCUGCGUGGUCGUCGUCAGUUCGUGCCGUGAGGUGUUCCGUUAAGUCGGGAAACGAACGAAACCCCUAUUGCAUGUUACAAUUUCUCAUGCAAGACUGCCCGGAUAUACUGGGAGGAAGGUGGGGAUGACGUCAGAUCUGCAUGGUCCUUAUACCCUGGGCGACACAGGCGCUACAAUGGCAGAGACAAAGGGUUGCAAAACCGCAAGGUGAAGCUAAUCCCAAAAACUUUGUCUAAGUUCGGAUUGAAGGCUGCAAUUCGCCUUCAUGAAGCUGGAAUCGCUAGUAAUCGUGAAUCAGCCACGUCACGGUGAAUAUGUUCCCGGAUCUUGUACUCACCGCCCGUCACACCAAGAGAGUUGGUAGCUCCCGAAGCGUCCCGUUUUAGCGGGGC
Molecule: ribosomal RNA, 1201 nt
Filed under: uncultured organism
Description: bacterial SSU rRNA
Rfam family: Bacterial small subunit ribosomal RNA
Source: RNAcentral